Cataglyphis hispanica is the source of this 1107-nucleotide long non-coding RNA. RefSeq lists it as uncharacterized. The record is from RefSeq and is a predicted model, not a curated record. NCBI's taxonomy places the organism in Eukaryota, Metazoa, Arthropoda, Insecta, Hymenoptera, Formicidae. The transcript has 3 exons.
UUCUACAUAACGAAAAACAUGUAAGAAAGAGAGAAAUAGCUGAAAUGUUUUUUAUUAAAAAAUUUGACAACACUAUUAAUUCCCAAAAAGAUACAGAGAAUUUAAACAACAUAUACGAUAAAUUAAUAAAGGUCGUUUAGUUGAUCUCAGUAUUCCAAACAUAGUGGUUGACACAAUGUCAGUUUGACAUUUCGAUUUUUCUCUUUCUACUUUUUAAUUAUAACGUAAGUUGCUUAAUCCUAUUUUUUUUCUUUGUAACAUGACUAUCAUUAUUUAUUGUAUUGUAAUUUUAGUUUCACUUGAUAAGGACCAAAACCAUAUGGUCGAAACGUCGUGAUAUAAUAAUCAAACAAUAAAUUGCCAGUUUGGUCGUAUAAACACUUGUUUAUAAAUUUCACAGUCUCGAAAACUCUAAAAAAAGAGAGACACCAGGGAGAAGUUAAAGAUCCCGCAACAGAAAGCGAGGAUAAAGAUGAGAGAAUGCAGCACGAAAAAUAUCGAAGUAAUAUUUCCGUUAUCGAUUAUGGAUGGAACGCCUGGACGUGAAAGGAAUAUCGAAGCGUGCACGCUUUUUCAUAUUUCGCUCAUCGCUUAUUAGCAAUCGAUCUUUUCAAAGCCUUUCGAACAUAUACAUAUAUAUGCCGUCGGUAUUUCUAUACGUGCGUUAUACAAUAUUAACACACAGUCAGUGAAAUAUAAAACUGAUCUCCGAUGUAAUCUUGACGGCGCCAGAUCCCGCGCCGGCGAUGAAAGUAAUGGCGGUGUUUGAGACGAAUCGCCAAGAGAGGGUCUCGCAGCCAUAAAAAGCGAACCUCCCGUACGUAUCACGAUCGACCUUUAAGGCCAUUGCCGAAUAUUGAGGCCAUCGAGGAGCAAAUAAAUAAUCUCGCGCCGUGGGCUCGAUAAAUUUUGAAACAGCCGAUAAAUACAGCCGAAUCCUCUUGCACCGCCAGAGAUCGGCUGGACCACUCGUGUGCGAGGUCAGAAUGCGAGAAAACAUUAAGGGCGGAAUGAAUAAGAGUGACGACGAGGAAUAUUUGUGCGGCAAAAUUUCGCUUAAUGUAUUUCCAUAGGACACGAAAGAGACAAAUAGCGAAAAAAGCGGGA